Molecule: small nuclear RNA, 164 nt
Organism: Pygocentrus nattereri (red-bellied piranha)
Lineage: Eukaryota; Metazoa; Chordata; Actinopteri; Characiformes; Serrasalmidae
Gene: U2
Rfam family: U2 spliceosomal RNA
About the family: U2 is a small nuclear RNA (snRNA) component of the spliceosome (involved in pre-mRNA splicing). Complementary binding between U2 snRNA (in an area lying towards the 5' end but 3' to hairpin I) and the branchpoint sequence (BPS) of the intron results the bulging out of an unpaired adenosine, on the BPS, which initiates a nucleophilic attack at the intronic 5' splice site, thus starting the first of two transesterification reactions that mediate splicing.
Source: Ensembl
AUUUGUUGUUGGCUAAGAUCAAGUGUUCUAAUCAGUUUAAUAUCUGAUAUUUCCUCUAUAUGAGGACUACAUAUUAAAUCGAUUUUUAGAGCAGGGUGACGGAAGAGGAGCUUGCUCCGUCCACUCCACACGUUUGCGGUAGGCUGGAGGUUAGGCAACCAUUC